Molecule: ribosomal RNA, 492 nt
Filed under: uncultured bacterium
Lineage: Bacteria
Description: partial 16S ribosomal RNA
Rfam family: Bacterial small subunit ribosomal RNA
Source: RNAcentral
AGUGAACGCUGGCGGUAGGCCUAACACAUGCAAGUCGAACGGCAGCACAGUAAGAGCUUGCUCUUACGGGUGGCGAGUGGCGGACGGGUGAGGAAUACAUCGGAAUCUACUUUUUCGUGGGGGAUAACGUAGGGAAACUUACUCUAAUACCGCAUACGACCUACGGGUGAAAGCAUGGGAUCGUCUGACCUUGCGCGGUUGAAUGAGCCGAUGUCGGAUUAGCUAGUUGGCGGGGUAAAGGCCCACCAAGGCGACGAUCCGUAGCUGGUCUGAGAGGAUGAUCGGCCACACUGGAACUGAGACACGGUCAAGACUCCUACGGGAGGCCGCAGUGGGGAAUAUUGGACAAUGGGCGCAAGCCUGAUCCAGCCAUACCGCGUGGGUGAAGAAGGCCUUCGGGUUGUAAAGCCCUUUUGUUGGGAAAGAAAAGCAGCAGGUUAAUACCACGCUGUUCUGACGGUACCCAAAGAAUAAGCACCGGCUAACUUCGUG